UGGGGAAUAUUGCGCAAUGGGGGCAACCCUGACGCAGCCAUGCCGCGUGAAUGAAGGAGGCCUUCGGGUUGUAAAGUUCUUUCGGUAGCGAGGAAGGCAUUUAGUUUAAUAGACUAGGUGAUUGACGUUAACUACAGAAGAAGCACCGGCUAACUCCGUGCCAGCAGCCGCGGUAAUACGGAGGGUGCGAGCGUUAAUCGGAAUAACUGGGCGUAAAGGGCACGCAGGCGGUGACUUAAGUGAGGUGUGAAAGCCCCGGGCUUAACCUGGGAAUUGCAUUUCAUACUGGGUCGCUAGAGUACUUUAGGGAGGGGUAGAAUUCCACGUGUAGCGGUGAAAUGCGUAGAGAUGUGGAGGAAUACCGAAGGCGAAGGCAGCCCCUUGGGAAUGUACUGACGCUCAUGUGCGAAAGCGUGGGGAGCAAACAGGAUUAGAUACCCUGGUAGUCCACGCUGUAAACGAUGUCGAUUUGGGGGUUGAACUUUGAGUUUGGCGCCCGUAGCUAACGUGAUAAAUCGACCGCCUGGGGAGUACGGCCGCAAGGUUA
Molecule: ribosomal RNA, 547 nt
Filed under: uncultured bacterium
Lineage: Bacteria
Description: bacterial SSU rRNA
Rfam family: Bacterial small subunit ribosomal RNA
Source: RNAcentral